AUUUUUCUUACGGUAUCAUCAUUUUAGGUACAUGAGAUCCACCUGCUAAAUCCUAUUAUUCAAACAUUUACCGUAAUCAUGAGAAAAAUAGCAAAUGUGAAAACGUGAAUGUGGAGUAGCUAAUACAUGAUUCUUACACUACGUGGUUUGGAUUUGCGAGCUUAUAGUACGAUGUGUCUAUGGUGGUGUGGUUGUGUUACGGUAUAAAGUGAAAAAUUUUCUAAAAGAAAAUUAUAUUGAAGGCUCUCAGAUUAUUUUCAUUCAUUUAAUUUUAUCUAUUUCUAAAUUAGCACGUAUUUUAAAUUCUUCCUAAACGAAGGUUAAAAUUUUAAUAACACUAUACCACGUUCUUGACUAUCUAUAUAUUUUAGUAGACACUAGAUGAAUAUGCACACAAGUAAUGCCAUAAAUCAACUAUGAAUCAUGUCUGGAUGUUUUCCUAGUUUAUAUUUUUUACUAAGGUUUCUAUAGAUUCUCAUGUAGAAAGAUAAUUGCAUUGUUAAGAAGAAACAAUCACAUGAGAGGUUACCUUUUAGUUUUACAAUUGCACCUAAGAUUUUGGAGAUGUUAUCAGGAAGCUCAAGAAAUAUAAUAAAGAUGACGCUAUAAGAGUGUUUUGUAGGGGAAAGAGGGAGAGAGUUUUUAUGGCACUUAAAUAAUGAAUGAUAUUUUGAAGAGUUUGGUGAUUAUUUUCUUUACAAGGUCGUCUUUAGGUGGAUCCCAUUUUGAAUUUAAGAACACAAAUUUGAAACUUAACAAACAAAGUAAGUUCACCUAAUAUGUAAUUGUUUAAAUAAAAUAUUAUGGAAAAACUCUUCAAGUAGCCUAAUAUCUUGUUAUUGAAACUUUGCAAGCACCAAACAAACACUCAUAGCUUGUUUAAUUUGCAUGAUUAAAAAGAAUUGAAAAUUAAAUUAAUGAGAUUUUUGAAGCUGGGUAGAAAAAGAGAAAACUACAAUGUAGGACAGUAAUUCUCUUAUUAUUGAAUCCAGCAAAGUAUAAGUAUUUAUAGUGUUAAGGUGCAGACAAAUUCCUUUAUUCUAGGGAUUUCUACCAAAUUUAAAUAUAUGUCAAUCUCAUAAAUAAAGAAAUGAACUAUAAGUCGACAUUGAUAGAGCCACGAAUUAUGGGACAAAUGACCACCAAAUCUGCUUCUAAUUUUUGUAAUCUUCAACACUCCCCCUCAAGCUGGUCGAUACAAGUUAAAUAAUCUCAGCUUGUCCACCAUUUUUCCGAACAUGGGUCUAAAUAAACCUUUUGUUAAUAAGUCUGCAACCUGUUCGGAAAAAGGUACAUAUACGAUGCAUAUUGUCUCAUUUUCUAUCUUUUCCUUGAUGAAGUAUCUAUCGAUCUCUACAUGUUUAGUUCUGUCAUGAUGAACAGAAUUAUGUGACAUUGCAAUAGCCGCUUUGUUAUCACAAUAAACUUUCAUAGGCUUAUUCUCCUUAAUCCCAAGUUCACUUAACAGUAUCUUUAACCACAUUAUUUCACAGAUUCCAUAUGCUAAGGCUCUAAAUUCAACUUCAGUGCUGCUUCUGGCCACAACUAGUUGUUUCUUACUUCUCCAAGUGACUAGAUUUCCCCAUACAAAGGUACAAUAACCGAUUGUAGAUCUCCUGUCUGUUAUUGAACCGGCCCAAUCAGCAUCGAUGAGGGUUUCAAUCGAUUUUCCAGAGUUCUUCUCAAGAAAAGUCCAUACCCAAGGGUCCCUUUUUAAUUUCUUUUCUUAUUUUUUUUUUUAUUUUUUCUUGAUUUUUUGAUUUUUUUCAAUUUAUUUAAUAUGGUAAUUAUCAAGUUACCAUUUUACCCUUUUCAAUUUAGUCAAAAUAGGUCAACAUUUACUUUUCUUGGUCAACUAAUCAAAUGGAUGGAUUCCAUACAUCUGGACCCCUAGUGCAUAUUUCUGAAAGGUUUGGUACUCACGGUGGCACAAAUGAAAGGUUUGGACAAAGUCUGCUAAUAAACGAAAGGUUUGGGACCGCUGUUGCAAUUUUCCCUUUUUAAAAUUGUGAUUAAGAAUUUUUCAAGUAGAAUUCAGAUUAUUUUGUUCUUGAAAGUAGAUUCCAUUUAUCCAUCAAAUCUAAUACUCAAAUCCAACAUUAAUGGCUUCAAAAUCUAAUCCCGAAUGGACUCAGAGACUGGGAAUUCUCUACAGGCAGCCAACUUUCUCUAAUUUAUAAAAAUUGCUCAGUUCGCUCACUGGGGUGUUCUUAAUAUUGUUUCAAAACCUCUAUAUGUCAACAUCAGCAGGAAAGACAUUUCAAAUUAGACAAGAGAGGAAUCCGUAACACCAUUAGAAAAGGAAAUAACUGAUCUGGUUUCAUCAUGAGAAUAAGAAUGAGCUGGAUAAAUAUUUUUUUUAGGAUAGGAUACAAAUUACUCCUAACAACUGAAAGAACAUACAUCUUGGUACUAACUUUCCAUUAAGGAUUACAAAGCCAGCAAGUUGCUUUGACCGCAUGAAUUUCGUACACCUUUGGCAUCGGGGAAACUCAAAUAUGUGCAAGUUACAAGCACAAGAUCUUGACAUUCACGGGGUGUCAAUGGCUAUAGUUCCUAAGUCAGAUACAGCAAGUUCUUAGACAAAAAUUGGGACAGCUCCAAGAUUAAUUACCACCUUAGUGUGCUGAGAUAUCUUAGAAGCGAUAUUUGUUCGCGGCCAAGCUGCCUCAAACUAAAGCUGUGGAAAAUUCUUUCCUCACGAAAAAUGCCAGCUAAAAUUGUCUGCUACAUCUUUAUUGCUCAUGACUGAAAGCCUAAGGAAUGGAGCAUAUUAAUUCUCCAAUUAUUUAUACUUUAAUGAAUAAUGUACAAGCAAUUAUAGCACAUAUAUUUAAUUAGAUGUUGGAAGUAUAUACUUGCAUUUACAACAAUGUUGGAAGUAUCAAAAAAUUUGUUGUCCUCUCAUAUCUAUAUUAAGCUUGAGAAACAGAGGUUGUUAAAUGUCAAUUAUUCAUACAUUAAUUCAUAGUGAACAUUAUAGUGUAUAUAAUAGAGUAUACAUUGAAAAUUGGGAAUGAAGAAGAUCCGUAUACCUUCAGAAUCCAAGAAAUUCGAAAUAUCAAAGGACUUUCCAUCUUUUGAUACUUC
Molecule: long non-coding RNA, 3090 nt
Filed under: Olea europaea subsp. europaea
Lineage: Eukaryota; Viridiplantae; Streptophyta; Magnoliopsida; Lamiales; Oleaceae
Source: RNAcentral